Long non-coding RNA from Benincasa hispida (wax gourd), 1412 nucleotides. RefSeq lists it as uncharacterized. NCBI's taxonomy places the organism in Eukaryota, Viridiplantae, Streptophyta, Magnoliopsida, Cucurbitales, Cucurbitaceae. The record is from RefSeq and is a predicted model, not a curated record.
AAGAUUUUGCGACGUGAACUUGCGCCAUUAAACAUAAAAAACUUUUAGUAACGUGGUAUGGUGUCACUCAUGUUCGAUUUUUCCCUUCAUCCUUCACUCCUCCCAUAUGCAAGUUUUCUCUCGCCCUUCCCUCUUGAUACCUCUACCUCUCUCAAUAGCAGGUUCAAGUUUGGUGUGUGAUGCUAAAUUUUGAUUCUAAGGGAUUUGGAAGAAGAUAGAAAGAUUACAUUGGACAUUGGACAUAUUUUGCUGCAUUUUCUAAGAAAAUAUGAAGACAAUUAUAGCCAUGAUCAAUCACGUUGUUGGGGGCUAAAGGAGUCAUGAGCUAGGAAUGCAAGGUUGUUGUUCAACGAUAUGGGUAAACUAAUGUGGAUUUGUUUUUAUCCGAGGCAAGUUAAUCUUAGUUUUAUUUUUAUGUUUAUGGCCUCCAUUGAGAGGCUUAUGGUUUCUACUGAUUUUUUUUUUUAGUUCAUGAGACUUACAAAAAGUUUUUGGGAUAAUCUGUCUUUGAUUUUGAUAUUGAAACAUGUGACUUAUAAAUAGUUUUGUUAAUAAGUUUUUGUUCAUAGUUUCAUGUUCUUAGCUAUUGUCUUUGGUUGACAAGUGGAGAAAGUACAUUGAUAACUUGUAGAAAUACAAGCUACUGUAGAAUUAUACUUAGAAUUAUGAGGGUUAAUAAGUAGAAUAUGUGUCAAUAAUACUAAGAAUUCAUAUGGAAAAGUGAGCUUGCGUCAACCAGCAUCGAAAAUUCUCACUAACCCUAUAUCAUGCAUUAUUCUACAUCAAAGUGUCUAUUUUUGCAGCUAAUGCAGGAAUUAAUCAUAUGCGUUGAUCCCAGACUGCUGCAAGGUUGACCGCAUGUAUUGAUCUUCAUGAAGACUAAUUCGUCACAUGGAAUGCUGCAUCCACAAAAUGAUAAUCGUGAUAGAAGGUUGAUUGUAAGGUGGGUGGAAUGCGUUGACAUUUCAGGACAAACGAGCAUGAACGCAUACCUCGGGAGUAUCAACAAGAUAAGGUGAUGUUGACAUUUCUCAUACCGCGACAGAAGUAGCAGUGAGUCAGAAUGGGAUGAUCAAUGCUGUCGGCAUUUGAACUUUAUAAAUGGAGCCUUGGAGCUUAACUUCAAACCAUCUGAAUUUCUGUUUUAGGCAGAUUCUUGUGAUCAUAGAUGAGAGCAUGAGCAAGACCUUCUUUCAGAAUUUUUCACUUCUACAAGCCCUUCCGAGUGACGACUGAAGCUUCGUCGGAGAUAUAGCUCGAGAGAGACGUCUUUACCACUCAUCUAUGGCACCACCGAUAGCCUUGACACACUUCGGAUGGAAAACAAGAGAUUGCUUACAUCUAACUCCCAACCUCUCCUCUUAUCUCUGCAUUGUAUUAUAUUUUUGCUUAAGACAUUAAUACAUUUUGUA